This 714-nucleotide ribosomal RNA is filed under the name uncultured bacterium. RNAcentral's name for it is "bacterial SSU rRNA". It matches the Rfam family "Bacterial small subunit ribosomal RNA", at positions 1 to 710 of the family's 1533-position model. The record is from RNAcentral.
CCUUAGAGUUUGAUCCUGGCUCAGGAUGAACGCUGGCGGCGUGCCUAACACAUGCAAGUCGAGCGAAGCACAUGAAUACUAUUCUUCGGAUGAGGAUUCUUGUGACUGAGCGGCGGACGGGUGAGUAACGCGUGGGCAACCUGCCUUACACGGGGGGAUAACAGUUAGAAAUGACUGCUAAUACCGCAUAAGACCACAAAACCGCAUGGUUUGGUGGUAAAAACUCCGGUGGUGUAAGAUGGGCCCGCGUCUGAUUAGGUAGUUGGUGGGGUAACGGCCUACCAAGCCGACGAUCAGUAGCCGACCUGAGAGGGUGACCGGCCACAUUGGGACUGAGACACGGCCCACACUCCUACGGGAGGCAGCAGUGGGGAAUAUUGCACAGUGGGGGAAACCCUGAUGCAGCGACGCCGCGUGAGCGAUGAAGUAUUUCGGUAUGUAAAGCUCUAUCAGCAGGGAAGAGAAUGACGGUACCUGACUAAGACGCCCCGGCUAACUACGUGCCAGCAGCCGCGGUAAUACGUAGGGGGCAAGCGUUAUCCGGAUUUACUAGGUGUAAAGGGAGCGUAGACUGCUUGGCAAGCCAGAUGUGAAAGGGCUGGCGCCUCCACCCCCAGGACUUGUAUUUGGAUCUGUCAUGCUAGAGUGUCAGAGAGGCAUGCGUAAUUCCCUUAGUGUUAGCGGUGAAAUGCGUAGAUAUGAGGACGAAACCCC